This 862-nucleotide long non-coding RNA is filed under the name Marmota monax (woodchuck). The record is from RNAcentral. Lineage: Eukaryota; Metazoa; Chordata; Mammalia; Rodentia; Sciuridae.
GUUUAUUGUGAUAAUUAACAUUGUAUGUCAUAGUAGAAAGUAUUUGGUUUAACGCUGUAAGUUGUUUGCAUUGGUUGUUGUUAUUAUUUUUCUCCCCAUAAACAGUGAGGUAUUGGAAACCUUCAGGGACUCCAAAAGUUCACAGGAUAGUAACUUGACUGCCUCAGAUCCAUACUGUUAAACAACAUGAAAAAGCAAGGGAACUAAUUGCUCCAGACAAACCCAGAUACUCCAAUAACAGAAUCCAUUGACCCCACAGGGGAAGAAAUGUCAGAGAAGGAGUUUAGAAUAUUCUUAGUUAAACUGAUCUUCAAAGUCAAGGAUGGUAUAAGGAAUGAAAUCAGAGAGAAAAUACAGGAAGUGAAAUAUCACUUCAAUAAAGAGAGAGACUCUGGAAAAAAAAAAGCAGAAAUCCUCAAAAUGAAGGAAUCAACAAACCAAAUUAAAAAUUCAAUUGAAAGCAUCACCAACAGACUACAACAGACUAGACCACUUGGACUUCAGAACCUCAGGCAAUGAAGACAAAAUAUAUAAUCUUGAAAACAGAGUUGACCAGAGAGAGGAGUUUUUAAGAAACCAUGACCAGAACUUCCAAGAACUAUGGGGGUAACAUGAAAAGAUUUAUUGGGAGAGAUGAAGGUGCAGAGACACAAACCAAAGGAAUGCACAAUCUUUUCAAUGAAACGAUAUCAGAAACUUCCCCAAAUCUAAAGAAUGAAAUGGAAAAUCAAAUACAAGAGGCUUACGGGACCCCAAAUAUACAAAAUUGCAACAGACCCACACCAAGUCACAUUAUAAUGAAAAUGCCUAACACGUAGAAUAAAGACAGAAUUCUAAAGGCUGUGAGAGAAAAAUAUCAGAU